GUACGGAGCGUGCCGAAGAAAGAAGAGUUAUUUACCUAGUACUUUUCGAAGAUGCACCGUGAUCUACGGGUACGGGGUGUGCCGAGGAAAGAUAGGUAUUUUUUCUAAGAUUAAUCGCAUCUAUUUAAUUAAAAAAAAGAGAUACAACUCUACUAGUACAAAAUUAAUUCAAAACUCUCGAGCUCUUUAUUUUCUAAUUACAUCAAUUUUAAGAUAAUUUAUUUUCUAAAUCAAAACAGUGCUUCUUUCUUUUAUUUUGCAAUCUCAACUUAGCCCAAG
This 279-nucleotide long non-coding RNA is filed under the name Elaeis guineensis (African oil palm). RNAcentral's name for it is "long non-coding RNA (EGUI_LNC027520)". Lineage: Eukaryota; Viridiplantae; Streptophyta; Magnoliopsida; Arecales; Arecaceae. The record is from RNAcentral.